RNAcentral lists this unclassified non-coding RNA (253 nucleotides) under uncultured Gammaproteobacteria bacterium. Its description in RNAcentral is "contains 16S-23S intergenic spacer region". It matches the Rfam family "Bacterial small subunit ribosomal RNA", at positions 524 to 776 of the family's 1533-position model. Lineage: Bacteria; Pseudomonadati; Pseudomonadota; Gammaproteobacteria. The record is from RNAcentral.
UACAGAGGGUGCGAGCGUUAAUCGGAAUGACUGGGCGUAAAGGGCGUGUAGGCGGUUUUUUAAGUGUUUUGUGAAAGACUCGGGCUAAACCUGAGUAUAGCGAGGCAUACUGAAAAACUAGAGAACGAAAGAGGUUAGUGGAAUUUCCGGUGGAGCGGUGAAAUGCGUAGAUAUCGGAAGGAACAUCAGUGGCGAAGGCGGCUAACUGGUUCGUUUCUGACGCUGAGGCGCGAAAGCGUGGGGAGCAAACAGG